UUCAUGGUGCACAAGGCCCAGUAUCUGUUGCAGAGGAAAUUGUUGAAGUCAACUAGUUGCUUCAAAAUGAAAUCCAUUUAAGAGAGGCUGUUGAAGAGGAGGCCAACAAUCUUAAAAGCCAACUAGUGCAGUUGAAAAAAUCAGAGAGGAUUAUUUCUCAAGAAGACAGAAGAUGGUGAUAAAUCUCAAAUAUAUAGAUCCAACAUAUAUGAUCUGGGCUAUUCCAAUCAAUGCAUCAAAUAAUGUAUGUUGCACAGUCCUUGCUCAGAUUGUUGUUCAUGGUGCAAUGGCUGCAUACACAGGCUUCACUGUGGGACUUGUUAAUGGCAAACAUACUUAUAUACCUUUCCAUGACUUUGGGAUAUGUAUGAUCCCUAAGGUUACUCUCUCUGGUUUCGUGAAUAUAAAUACAACGAUGAUAAUGGCAAUGGUUUAUAUCUUGGGGUGCCACUGAUGUUGGGUAGGUUGUUCUCCCCUUAGUUUUGUAAUUCAUAGUAGUGGUGUUUUUUUUUGGUGAUUUGACUUCUAUUUCUCUAUAUUAUGGAUUGUGUUUCUCCCGUGUUAAGAAAACCAUUUCUAUUGAUAUAUGCCAGCUGCUAUCCCAAUUUUAAUAUCGAAUGCUGAUAUGUUAAUCUCA
Magnolia sinica is the source of this 637-nucleotide long non-coding RNA. RefSeq lists it as uncharacterized. The record is from RefSeq and is a predicted model, not a curated record. Lineage: Eukaryota; Viridiplantae; Streptophyta; Magnoliopsida; Magnoliales; Magnoliaceae. The transcript is spliced from 4 exons.